AAUUACUCUGUGGUUCUCCUUUGUGGAGUCAAGAAAAUUGUUUUUUUCUUUUGAGCUGUACGUAGCUUACAGUAAUUGGAUAAAGAACAAUUGAAACACUAACCUUUCUCUCUACCUGAUGUCUCCAGAAUUUGGAAAGUAUUUCCCCGCAGACUGGAGCAAGACAACUUGAAUAAACUAUGGGAAAAAUCACUACAGCAACAUAUAUAAACAGCCUUUAUGCUUGUUGAUGUAUGGAAUACUCAGAAAGUUCACUGCAACACCUGAUUUAAACUACAACCAGGAGACUCUGUCAGAUUAACACUACAAUCUGAAGAACUAUAGAGACUGUCAAAAAACUAGUGUAGAGUCUACAGUAGAUAUUAACCUUUGUUUUUCUUCUGUUUUCAUAGAAACACCUUUUAUUAAAAAUCUGUUUUCCUGCUUCAGUCCUAGUCCAUCUGUAAUGCCACCCCCUGGAAUGAGACAUAGCUGUUUAACUGAACUGAUCUAUUCUCGGGACUAAGAGACUGAUU
Long non-coding RNA from Pongo pygmaeus (Bornean orangutan), 515 nucleotides. RefSeq lists it as uncharacterized. The transcript has 3 exons. Lineage: Eukaryota; Metazoa; Chordata; Mammalia; Primates; Hominidae. The record is from RefSeq and is a predicted model, not a curated record.